RNAcentral lists this non-coding RNA (219 nucleotides) under Halanaerobium saccharolyticum. Its description in RNAcentral is "T-box sequence". It matches the Rfam family "T-box leader". Rfam says of the family: Uncharged tRNA acts as the effector for transcription antitermination of genes in the T-box leader family. T-boxes are found upstream of many aminoacyl-tRNA synthetase genes and some amino acid biosynthetic genes usually in Gram-positive bacteria. Lineage: Bacteria; Bacillati; Bacillota; Clostridia; Halanaerobiales; Halanaerobiaceae. The record is from RNAcentral.
UUAAAGGUGUUGAAGGACAUUAGUAAAUUUUUAAAACUGAUUUAGAGAGCUGAUGGUUGCUGAAAAUCAGCCAGUUUAAAAGUUGAAUCCAGUCUGGAGCUGUGAUGCAGAAAAAUAAUUAUUUAUUGACUAUGCUGAUCCGGGUGAGUCCGUUAAAACUAUAUAAGAGGCAGCAAUAGCUGUUAUUAGGGUGGCACCACGAGAUAUCUCGUCCCUUUC